Molecule: ribosomal RNA, 253 nt
Filed under: uncultured bacterium
Lineage: Bacteria
Description: partial 16S ribosomal RNA
Rfam family: Bacterial small subunit ribosomal RNA
Source: RNAcentral
GACGUAGGGCGCGAGCGUUGUCCGGAUUUAUUGGGCGUAAAGAGCUCGUAGGUGGUUUGCCGCGUUGUUCGUGAAAACUCACAGCUUAACUGUGGGCGUGCGGGCGAUACGGGCAGACUGGAGUACUGCAGGGGAGACUGGAAUUCCUGGUGUAGCGGUGGAAUGCGCAGAUAUCAGGAGGAACACCGGUGGCGAAGGCGGGUCUCUGGGCAGUAACUGACGCUGAGGAGCGAAAGCGUGGGGAGCGAACAGG